RNAcentral lists this long non-coding RNA (232 nucleotides) under Ananas comosus (pineapple). RNAcentral's name for it is "long non-coding RNA (ACOM_LNC039738)". The record is from RNAcentral. Lineage: Eukaryota; Viridiplantae; Streptophyta; Magnoliopsida; Poales; Bromeliaceae.
AUUGUAACAUAUCGGAUUUUCAAUAUAAAAGAGAAAAAUAAAUAAAAGUAGUAUGAGAUACUAUUUUAUUGAAUUUAGAGAAGUGAAAUAUCGGUUGGGAACGACCUGUGCUGAAAUCGGAGCGAAAACAGAAGAUUUAGAAUUUUCUGUUGGAAACGGGACUGAUAAAUUAGCAGAAAAUGCACAGUCUCAGAAAAUUAUAAAAAUUUGUGGGGAUGUCAAAAAUAUUUUU